GUGGGAGCUGGCUUGCCUGCGAUGACGGUAGAUCAGUCAGCCCAUGUAUUGGCUGGCCUACCGCGAUCGCAGGCAAGCCAGCUCCCAC
This 88-nucleotide non-coding RNA is filed under the name Pseudomonas tolaasii NCPPB 2192. Lineage: Bacteria; Pseudomonadati; Pseudomonadota; Gammaproteobacteria; Pseudomonadales; Pseudomonadaceae. The record is from RNAcentral.